RNAcentral lists this transfer RNA (68 nucleotides) under Porotermes adamsoni (Australian dampwood termite). Its description in RNAcentral is "tRNA-His". The record is from RNAcentral. Lineage: Eukaryota; Metazoa; Arthropoda; Insecta; Blattodea; Termopsidae.
ACCUGAGUGGUUUAAUUGAUAAAAUACUGAUUUGUGGUGUCAGUGAUGUGUGUUUUGUGCCUCGGGUU